RNAcentral lists this ribosomal RNA (450 nucleotides) under uncultured Acaulospora. RNAcentral describes it as "SSU rRNA". It matches the Rfam family "Eukaryotic small subunit ribosomal RNA", at positions 569 to 1021 of the family's 1831-position model. The record is from RNAcentral. Lineage: Eukaryota; Fungi; Glomeromycota; Glomeromycetes; Diversisporales; Acaulosporaceae.
AGCAGCCGCGGUAAUUCCAGCUCCAAUAGCGUAUAUUAAAGUUGUUGCAGUUAAAAAGCUCGUAGUUGAAUUUCGGAAUCUGUCCAUCGGUCGGGCUUCACUGUCCGUACUGGUGUGGUGGGUUCUUACCUUCUGAAUAACCAGCAUGCCAUUCACUUGGUGCGCUGGGGAAGCAGGACUAUUACCUUGAAAAAAUUAGAGUGCUCAAAGCAGGCUAGUGCCUGAAUACAUUAGCAUGGAAUAAUAAAAUAGGACGGCAUGGUUCUAUUUUGUUGGUUUCUAGGAUCACCGUAAUGAUUAAUAGGGAUAGUUGGGGGCAUUAGUAUUCAAUUGUCAGAGGUGAAAUUCUUGGAUUUAUUGAAGACUAACUUCUGCGAAAGCAUUUGCCAAGGAUGUUUUCAUUAAUCAAGAACGAAAGUUAGGGGAUCGAAGACGAUCAGAUACCGUCGU